This 372-nucleotide unclassified non-coding RNA is filed under the name uncultured bacterium. RNAcentral describes it as "contains 16S-23S intergenic spacer region". The record is from RNAcentral.
UCCGAUUUGUCACCGGCAGUCUCCUAUGAGUCCCCGACAUAACUCGCUGGCAACAUAGGACAGGGGUUGCGCUCGUUGCGGCACUUAAGCCAACACCUCACGGCACGAGCUGACGACAGCCAUGCAGCACCUGUGCUAGCCCUAUAACGACACGGGCUUUCACCCGCUUUAACUAGCAUGUCAAGCCUAGGUAAGGUUCUUCGCGUUGCAUCGAAUUAAGCCACAUGCUCCGCCGCUUGUGCGGGCCCCCGUCAAUUCCUUUGAGUUUCAUUCUUGCGAACGUACUCCCCAGGCGGGAUACUUACUGCGUUAGCUGCGGCACCGGCGGUAACCCGCCGACACUUAGUAUCCAUCGUUUAAGGCGUGGACUAC